UUGCGCUAGGUGGGAAGCUAGCGGUGUCCUGUUACCCGAAAUCCGCUCAAUGCGGGACUGAAUUCCCUUUUGAGGGCUCGCAUCUCCAUGUUCCAAGAGCUGUCCCAGGUCGGGCACCACGCAACAGGCGGUUAUGAAUCCCGUCAGGUCCGGGAGGAAGCAGCGGUAAGUAAUCCAGCCUGUGUCGUGGCUUGGCUUCGACCAAAUUAUGACAGCUUAAGGCGCGUUGGAAAGGGCUCGAUGAAGGGUGCGCAA
Molecule: signal recognition particle RNA, 255 nt
Filed under: Deltaproteobacteria bacterium
Lineage: Bacteria; Pseudomonadati; Myxococcota; Myxococcia
Description: signal recognition particle sRNA large type
Rfam family: Bacterial large signal recognition particle RNA
About the family: The signal recognition particle (SRP) is a universally conserved ribonucleoprotein involved in the co-translational targeting of proteins to membranes. Archaeal SRP consists of a 7S RNA and homologues of the eukaryotic SRP19 and SRP54 proteins.
Source: RNAcentral